AAUGAUAAUGAGAUGCAUCAGGAAACAUGCAAGUCCACAGAAAAUCAGCGCUGCACCAACCUUCUUCUUCCUCGUCUCCUAUUGCUGCGGAUAGAGCCAUUGCGGCAGUGCGAUCUCAUUAUGUGAGCUCCAGCAUGGCGUCGCCACAAAGGGAAACCCGCAAGGGCGUAUUCUAGCAUGACAGGGUGCAUCCUGAUGCGUAGAGGUGAGAUCGAGACGUGGAGCAGAACAGCAACGGUACAUUUCU
This 247-nucleotide long non-coding RNA is filed under the name Setaria italica (foxtail millet). RNAcentral describes it as "long non-coding RNA (SITA_LNC007167)". Lineage: Eukaryota; Viridiplantae; Streptophyta; Magnoliopsida; Poales; Poaceae. The record is from RNAcentral.